GCACUGCUGAGGAGUCCCAUAAUAGGACGAAACGUACGUUCAGUGC
This is a non-coding RNA of Schistosoma rodhaini, 46 nucleotides long. Lineage: Eukaryota; Metazoa; Platyhelminthes; Trematoda; Strigeidida; Schistosomatidae. The record is from Rfam.